GAUGAACGCUAGCGGGAGGCCUAACACAUGCAAGCCGAGCGGUAUUUGUUCUUCGGUACAGAUAGAGCGGCGCACGGGGGCGGAACACGUGUGCAACCUGCCUUUAUCUGGGGGAUAGCCUUUCGUAAGGAAGAUUAAUACCCCAUCAUAUAUUUAUUGGCAUCACUUGAUAUUGAAAACUCAGGUGGAUAGAGAUGGGCACGCGCAAGAUUAGCUAGUUGGUGAGGUAACAGCAUACCAAGUCAAUGAUCUUUAGGGGGCCUGCGAGGGUGAUCCCCCACACUGGUACUACGGCACGGACCAGACCCCGACGGGAGGCAGGGGUAAGUAAUAUUAGACAAGAGGGUAGCGCGUGAUCCAGCCACCCCGCGUGAAAGAGGACGGGCAUAGGAGUUGUAAACUUCUUGUGAAUAGGGAUAAACCAACUCACGAGGGAGUAGCUGAAGGUACUAUACGAAAAAGCACCGGCUAACUCCGUG
Molecule: ribosomal RNA, 479 nt
Filed under: uncultured bacterium
Lineage: Bacteria
Description: partial 16S ribosomal RNA
Rfam family: Bacterial small subunit ribosomal RNA
Source: RNAcentral